This 77-nucleotide small nucleolar RNA is filed under the name Amborella trichopoda. RNAcentral's name for it is "Small nucleolar RNA R38". It matches the Rfam family "Small nucleolar RNA R38". Rfam says of the family: snoR38 is a C/D box small nucleolar RNA conserved across yeast, human, Arabidopsis and rice. The record is from Rfam by way of RNAcentral. Lineage: Eukaryota; Viridiplantae; Streptophyta; Magnoliopsida; Amborellales; Amborellaceae.
GUAUGUGGAUGAUGAGAAAGAGAAUAGUUAUCCUUGUCUGAUGCUUAAAUGCUGAUCUUUUCAAAUAUGACACGUGG